AUGAGCGCAGCCGGAGCGGGCGCCGCGGGCGCUGCGGCCACCGAGCCCCGAGGCUGGCGGGGACCCGGCCGCCCGCACUUACCGGGAUGCGCCGGGAGGACGCGCGCGCGGCGGGGGCUGUCCCCGGCCCUCCGCCUCCCCGCGCCGAGGCCCGGUCUCCGGCUCCCGCUCGCGCUCGCGCUCGCCGCGGCUCCCGCCGGCCGGGGCUGGGCUCGGGAGGAGACUGAGCCGCGGCGAGCCCUGCGCGCCGCCUCCGGUGCUGCCCGGCCCCCGCCCGCGCGCCCCUCCCUCUCGUCUCUGCGCGGGGAGCGUGGCCGCAGCGCGCUCGGCUCCCGCGCCCUCCGCUCCACGCCUCCCGGGCGCAGAGGCCGCGCCGGCAGCCGUCUCUUAGGAGAUUUCUCCGCAGUGGGGACUGGGGUCAGGCUUUGCAGGCGAGCAAGGACGCAGAGGAGAAAUCGUACAGGUGGCAGGGGAGGAUAUGGUUGCCAGUCUCUCUGGGGACAUAUUCUUAUAGCUCUUGGCAAGAAAAGAAAAAGGAACCCAAGAAGAACUAUGAAUGGACUGACUUACAGGACACAGCUGUCCUGACCCAGCACUGUGGCCAGGUGUAUGAGAUAAGCACAGUCUACAUUCCCAGUUUUGCCUUUCCCUUCAGUGCUGGGAGAAGAGAGAAGAGAAAAGAAAACAGGAAAAGGAGACAAGGUAUUUUUAUAUCAGUUCUCUCAUCCCCGAGUUCCUUCUCUCACUUUAGUGUGGAUGCCACAAUUAUGAAUUUUUCUAUUCAAGUAGGCCUUGAUAACACCUCCUGGGAAAUGUCUUGAGGGUGCCACAUUCAAGACCAAAUGGCCAAUGUAAUAGUGUUUCAGAAUUUAGGAAUUGGGGAAGUUACAGCUAAUUUUGUUCAGUGAAAGCAUACAUACUUCUCUUUGUGACAUCUUCAGUGAAAACCUACAUAAAAUGUUAUAUUUCAAAGCCCUAAAGAUGAAAUAAAUUUUUUAAAAUCCCCUAUGAGGUAGUACUGGUAAAUUCACAGCUAUUUUAACCCCGUGAAGUACACAUCAUCACAUUCCUCAUGAAAAACUCCAGCAAGAGCCCCUGGCAUGGUUUGAAUAUAAACAUGUAGCAACUAAAUGACUUUAUCAAGCUACAAUCCCCUGUGCUCAGCAUUUAGAGGAAAUCAGCAGCUUAACCAGGUUUUUUUUUUUUUUUUUUUUUUUUUUGCUGAGCAACGGGGGGCCAAAAAUAAAACACUAUUACAUCAAACUGCAGACAAACAAAAAUCUGACUAAGUUCGCUAUCUUCUCAGGGCAUUUCUGUACCUAAUGAGCACAGCUGAGCCCAAAGGCAUCAAGAGGUUUCUCACCAUUAGGCAAUGGGGUGGAAGAUUAUCUAAUAUUCCUGGGUGGGCAUCCUCAGUUCUUUUGGGUAAAAUAGGGGGAAGAUCAAAAGAGGAUGCAAACAUUUUUUAAUCAAUGAAAGAGAGAAUGGAUACAUUCCUCUGACCUUUUCAAUUGCAGAGAAGAUAUAUUAUCUGCAUUAAUUAGCAUGUUGAAAAAUUCCUUCUGGAUUGCUGAGUGCCUUCCUAUGAGUAGUGGGAAAUAUGUUUGUAAUACGGCAUACAGCAAUCUGUCAUAAAGAGCUAAUUUUUUUGGACAUCCUCUCUGAGUAUGCAUGAAAUGUGAAGCAGCUUAGCGAGUUAUGUUGCAUUAGUCUUUCUAAUUGGUGAAAAAGGUUAACAUGUGUCUAACAACAUUAGUGCACAGCGCUUGGGUUUUGAAAUGCCAGUUUGCUUAAGAUACUGAGUGUUGUUGAACAGAAAUUCUUCGGGAGGUAAUAUAAAUCAUCAUCUCUAGUAUAGUUCUUACUUGUUGAACACUAAACAAAUGAUUUCAUUUAAUUCUUGGAGGGAAAUACAACUAGUAUCAUCAUCAUUGAACAGAUAGCAAAAAUGGAGGAUUGAAAAGAUUAAGUAAUUUGCCCCUAAAACACAAAGAAGGUAAAGUCAGGAUUUAAACCCAGUCAGUCUGACUCCCAGAGCCAAUACCCUUUACCACACUUCAGUAUUCCCUCAGGUUUUGUCCUUACUGGGCACCAUUGUGAGGGUUACUUAGCUUUACUCUGCCUCCAUUUCCUUGUCUGCGAAUUAGAGAAUAGUUUUGUGUUAUUGGGAUUGUGAGGAUUGAAUUAUGUACUGGCUAUAAAACAUUCAGUAAAAUGCCUUAUUACACAUACCAUGCUAUUAUUAUUCUUUUAAAUUAUCACAUUCAAGGGUUGGGAAGAAUCUAAUUAUCACCUGCUUUUCUCAUUUGGUGAGGAGGAGGAAUAACUGAGUAAAUGUUAUUUAUUGCCAGCAGAGCUCACAUUCAUGGUCCUAGAAUGCUGGAACUUGGAAGACUCCACAUUAAGCCUUCUUUGCAGUAACUGGUGAGGAAACACUGAGACCCAAAGAGCCAAGUCAUCCUUGGGGUCAUAGACUGGGAGAACUAUGCCCUUGGUGAAACUAUUUUCAAAACUACGAAUGAGCCUCUCCAU
Molecule: long non-coding RNA, 2532 nt
Filed under: Canis lupus familiaris (dog)
Lineage: Eukaryota; Metazoa; Chordata; Mammalia; Carnivora; Canidae
Description: lncRNA (ENSCAFG00030005373.1)
Source: RNAcentral